Molecule: ribosomal RNA, 500 nt
Filed under: uncultured bacterium
Lineage: Bacteria
Description: partial 16S ribosomal RNA
Rfam family: Bacterial small subunit ribosomal RNA
Source: RNAcentral
GGACGAACGCUGGCGGCGUGCCUAAUACAUGCAAGUCGAGCGGACUUUCAAGAAGCUUGCUUUUUGAAAGUUAGCGGCGGACGGGUGAGUAACACGUGGGCAACCUGCCUGCAAGACGGGGAUAACUCCGGGAAACCGGGGCUAAUACCGGAUAAUAUCUUCCUUCGCAUGAAGGAAGGUUGAAAGGCGGCGCAAGCUGCCGCUUGCAGAUGGGCCCGCGGCGCAUUAGCUAGUUGGUGAGGUAACGGCUCACCAAGGCGACGAUGCGUAGCCGACCUGAGAGGGUGAUCGGCCACACUGGGACUGAGACACGGCCCAGACUCCUACGGGAGGCAGCAGUAGGGAAUCUUCCGCAAUGGACGAAAGUCUGACGGAGCAACGCCGCGUGAGCGAAGAAGGGCUUCGGAUCGUAAAGCUCUGUUGUCAGGGAAGAACAAGUACCGUUCGAACAGGGCGGUACCUUGACGGUACCUGACCAGAAAGCCACGGCUAACUACGUG